GACGAAGGAUGCAAGCGUUAUCCGGAAUUAUUGGGCGCAAAGGGUACGUAGGCGGCUUGUCAAGUCCUGGGUUAAAUCCCGCAGCUUAACUGCGGAUCGGCCUUGGAAACUGGCUUGCUGGAGUGUGGUAGGGGUAGCGGGAAUUCCUGGUGUAGCGGUGAAAUGCGUAGAGAUCAGGAGGAACACCUGUGGCGAAGGCGCGCUACUGGACCAUGACUGACGCUGAGGUACGAAAGCUCGAGGAGCAAAAGGG
Molecule: ribosomal RNA, 253 nt
Filed under: uncultured bacterium
Lineage: Bacteria
Description: partial 16S ribosomal RNA
Rfam family: Bacterial small subunit ribosomal RNA
Source: RNAcentral